GGGUUGUGAGGUUAAGCGACUAAGCGUACACGGUGGAUGCCCUGGCAGUCAGAGGCGAUGAAGGACGUGCUAAUCUGCGAAAAGCGUCGGUAAGGUGAUAUGAACCGUUACAGCCGGCGAUGUCCGAAUGGGGAAACCCAGUGCAAUUCGUUGCACUAUCGUUAACUGAAUACAUAGGUUAACGAGGCGAACCGGGGGAACUGAAACAUCUAAGUACCCCGAGGAAAAGAAAUCAACCGAGAUUCCCCCAGUAGCGGCGAGCGAACGGGGAGCAGCCCAGAGUCUGAAUCAGCUUGUGUGUUAGUGGAACGGUCUGGAAAGUCCGACGGUACAGGGUGAUAGUCCCGUACACCAAAAUGCACAGGCUGUGAACUCGAAGAGUAGGGCGGGACACGUGGUAUCCUGUCUGAAUAUGGGGGGACCAUCCUCCAAGGCUAAAUACUCCUGACUGACCGAUAGUGAACCAGUACCGUGAGGGAAAGGCGAAAAGAACCCCGGCGAGGGGAGUGAAAAAGAACCUGAAACCGUGUACGUACAAGCAGUGGGAGCACCUUCGGGUGUGACUGCGUACCUUUUGUAUAAUGGGUCAGCGACUUAUAUUCUGUAGCAAGGUUAACCGUAUAGGGGAGCCGCAGGGAAACCGAGUCUUAACUGGGCGUUAAGUUGCAGGGUAUAGACCCGAAACCCGGUGAUCUAGCCAUGGGCAGGUUGAAGGUUGGGUAACACUAACUGGAGGACCGAACCGACUAAUGUUGAAAAAUUAGCGGAUGACUUGUGGCUGGGGGUGAAAGGCCAAUCAAACCGGGAGAUAGCUGGUUCUCCCCCGAAAGCUAUUUAGGUAGCGCCUCGUGAAUUCAUCUUCGGGGGUAGAGCACUGUUUCGGCUAGGGGGUCAUCCCGACUUACCAACCCGAUGCAAACUACGAAUACCGAAGAAUGUUAUCACGGGAGACACACGGCGGGUGCUAACGUCCGUCGUGAAGAGGGAAACAACCCAGACCGCCAGCUAAGGUCCCAAAGUCAUGGUUAAGUGGGAAACGAUGUGGGAAGGCACAGACAGCCAGGAUGUUGGCUUAGAAGCAGCCAUCAUUUAAAGAAAGCGUAAUAGCUCACUGGUCGAGUCGGCCUGCGCGGAAGAUGUAACGGGGCUAAACCAUGCACCGAAGCUGCGGCAGCGACACUAUGUGUUGUUGGGUAGGGGAGCGUUCUGUAAGCCUGCGAAGGUGACCUGUGAGGGUUGCUGGAGGUAUCAGAAGUGCGAAUGCUGACAUAAGUAACGAUAAAGCGGGUGAAAAGCCCGCUCGCCGGAAGACCAAGGGUUCCUGUCCAACGUUAAUCGGGGCAGGGUGAGUCGACCCCUAAGGCGAGGCCGAAAGGCGUAGUCGAUGGGAAACAGGUUAAUAUUCCUGUACUUGGUGUUACUGCGAAGGGGGGACGGAGAAGGCUAUGUUAGCCGGGCGACGGUUGUCCCGGUUUAAGCAUGUAGGCUGGUUAUCCAGGCAAAUCCGGAUAAUCAAGGCUGAGGUGUGAUGACGAGGCACUACGGUGCUGAAGUAACAAAUGCCCUGCUUCCAGGAAAAGCCUCUAAGCAUCAGGUAACAUCAAAUCGUACCCCAAACCGACACAGGUGGUCAGGUAGAGAAUACCAAGGCGCUUGAGAGAACUCGGGUGAAGGAACUAGGCAAAAUGGUGCCGUAACUUCGGGAGAAGGCACGCUGGUGUGUAGGUGAAGUCCCUGCGGAUGGAGCUGAGACCAGUCGAAGAUACCAGCUGGCUGCAACUGUUUAUUAAAAACACAGCACUGUGCAAACACGAAAGUGGACGUAUACGGUGUGACGCCUGCCCGGUGCCGGAAGGUUAAUUGAUGGGGUUAUCCGUAAGGAGAAGCUCUUGAUCGAAGCCCCGGUAAACGGCGGCCGUAACUAUAACGGUCCUAAGGUAGCGAAAUUCCUUGUCGGGUAAGUUCCGACCUGCACGAAUGGCGUAAUGAUGGCCAGGCUGUCUCCACCCGAGACUCAGUGAAAUUGAACUCGCUGUGAAGAUGCAGUGUACCCGCGGCAAGACGGAAAGACCCCGUGAACCUUUACUAUAGCUUGACACUGAACAUUGAGCCUUGAUGUGUAGGAUAGGUGGGAGGCUUUGAAGCGUGGACGCCAGUCUGCGUGGAGCCAACCUUGAAAUACCACCCUUUAAUGUUUGAUGUUCUAACGUUGGCCCCUUACCGGGGUUGCGGACAGUGUCUGGUGGGUAGUUUGACUGGGGCGGUCUCCUCCCAAAGCGUAACGGAGGAGCACGAAGGUUAGCUAAUCCUGGUCGGACAUCAGGAGGUUAGUGCAAUGGCAUAAGCUAGCUUGACUGCGAGCGUGACGGCGCGAGCAGGUGCGAAAGCAGGUCAUAGUGAUCCGGUGGUUCUGAAUGGAAGGGCCAUCGCUCAACGGAUAAAAGGUACUCCGGGGAUAACAGGCUGAUACCGCCCAAGAGUUCAUAUCGACGGCGGUGUUUGGCACCUCGAUGUCGGCUCAUCACAUCCUGGGGCUGAAGUAGGUCCCAAGGGUAUGGCUGUUCGCCAUUUAAAGUGGUACGCGAGCUGGGUUUAGAACGUCGUGAGACAGUUCGGUCCCUAUCUGCCGUGGGCGCUGGAGAAUUGAGGGGGGGGCUGCUCCUAGUACGAGAGGACCGGAGUGGACGCAUCACUGGUGUUCGGGUUGUCAUGCCAAUGGCACUGCCCGGUAGCUAAAUGCGGAAGAGAUAAGUGCUGAAAGCAUCUAAGCACGAAACUUGCCCCGAGAUGAGUUCUCCCUGAGACUUUAAGUCUCCUGAAGGAACGUUAAAGACGAUGACGUUGAUAGGCCGGGUGUGUAAGCGCAGCGAUGCGUUGAGCUAACCGGUACUAAUGAACCGUGAGGCUUAACCUUACAACGCCGAAG
This 2926-nucleotide ribosomal RNA is filed under the name Klebsiella pneumoniae. RNAcentral describes it as "bacterial LSU rRNA". It matches the Rfam family "Bacterial large subunit ribosomal RNA". Lineage: Bacteria; Pseudomonadati; Pseudomonadota; Gammaproteobacteria; Enterobacterales; Enterobacteriaceae. The record is from RNAcentral.